This 468-nucleotide ribosomal RNA is filed under the name uncultured bacterium. Its description in RNAcentral is "partial 16S ribosomal RNA". It matches the Rfam family "Bacterial small subunit ribosomal RNA", at positions 28 to 507 of the family's 1533-position model. The record is from RNAcentral.
GACGAACGCUGGCGGCGUGCUUAACACAUGCAAGUCGAACGGAAAGGCCCUGCUUUUGUGGGGUGCUCGAGUGGCGAACGGGUGAGUAACACGUGAGUAACCUGCCCUUGACUUUGGGAUAACUUCAGGAAACUGGGGCUAAUAACGGAUAGGAGCUCCUGCUGCAUGGUGGGGGUUGGAUAGUUUCGGCGGUUGGGGAUGGACUCGCGGCUUAUCAGCUUGUUGGUGGGGUAGUGGCUUACCAAGGCUUUGACGGGUAGCCGGCCUGAGAGGGUGACCGGCCACAUUGGGACUGAGAUACGGCCCAGACUCCUACGGGAGGCAGCAGUGGGGAAUAUUGCACAAUGGGCGGAAGCCUGAUGCAGCAACGCCGCGUGCGGGAUGACGGCCUUCGGGUUGGAAACCGCUUUCGCCUGUGACGAAGCGUGAGUGACGGUAAUGGGUAAAGAAGCACCGGCUAACUACGUG